CGCUCAGCCGCGCAGGGCGCCCAUCAUGGCGGUAUCUGGGCGCUUCACAGGCCUUAUUUCUUUAUCCUCCCAGUAGGGUGACCAGACAGUAGGUAGGUGGGUGUGUGCGGAUUUAAUCAGCCCUUUCACCCAGGAGUCAGAGGUGGGUGCAGCUUAGGCCAGAAGGACCAAAGGAGAGAGACACACACUAACUCAGCAGGACAUGAGGAUCAUUUCCAUUAAGACAAAACUGCCUUUCUUCUGCAUGAGGGAGGUGGUGACAGCCCCAGCAGCGACACAGAGUUCAGUGCGGGGCAGUGCAAAGUGGGGAUGAAACCUGGCUGCCCUUUGUCCCCUCCCCGAUCUGCCUCGCACAGAGCCCCUGAUCCUCCGCAGAGACGGCAAGGUUUGGUUCGCUCCACUCCCGUCUGUGUUCCCUGGCCCUGGCCAGUAGCAGAGUCACCUGGAGAAAUGCGGCUAUCGAUGAAUUUCUGAUUGCACCAGGAAGAACCAGUAAUACCAUGAUAAACCCUGGCCUUUUAAGAAUUCCGGUCUGGAUUCGCAGGCUGGGGCAUUCAGACGGCUCUGAAAAGCACCCAGCUGUCUGGGAGUGGUUCAGACCCACCAUCCAAGGCAAAGUGCUACUACAACAGCUCAACAGGGCCACAAGGAGCCUGCUCUACCCACCAUCAGUGAACUCCUCAGCCAAGGCAACAAGAGACACGCGAUGACCCACAACCCAGCCAGGAGCCACUCUGCCUUUACGGUUCUCCUGAGCAGGCUACACAGGGAUGAAAACCUUCACCAGCUCCAAUCCAGCCAACAGGCGGUGAUGAUUCAUUGUUGCUAUGGCCUCUGGAGGGUGCAGUCAGCAUCACUGUAUUAGGCCACAUUGUGCUAGGGGCUGUACAGACAGAGGAAAACAUGGGCCCUGCCUCACAGGGUUCCCAUUGUCACCACCUAAUGGCUGUGUGGCAGCCCCGGGCAUGUGCCCCAGAGCCAGAGGUACUUAUAUAGUGCUCAUCAGGAUUGUUGGAGCACUCUACAAGGGAUUUUACACUCACACCCCAAGGAGGUAGGGAAAGAUCCCCAUUUUACAGAUGGGAAAACUGAGGCACAGAGAGUCUGUGGUUGAGCCAGGCCUCUCAAGUCCCAGUCCAGUGCCUUAAGCACUAGAUCACCCUCCCUGCUGCUCUACAGAUGGAUCAACAGCCCCUUGGACACUAUUCACCAGCACAACGCUCACUGCUGUUUAAAAGGUUGUCCCCUCAGGGUGGAGCUCAGACAGGAUUUCCUUUGCAUUGGAUUUCAUCCUGAGAACCUCUCCACAUGCUCAGAGAGGGACAAUGGUCCCAGGAGAGUCCUGCCGCAUGGGAACUCGGAGUGGGGCUGUAUGACAAACCUAACCUUGGAUCACCCCUGCCAGACCAGGAGGGAGUCGUUGGCCCCCAUCUCAGCCAGAGCUGGUGGCCAGUGUGGGGUCCUCGGAAGCAGAGAGGCCCCACUCUGGGCUGAAUCCCAACUAUCCAGGCCUGCGCUUUGGGAUUUCAGGAGUGAAUGGAAUAAAGGAGCUGGGGUCCCAUGAGAUCCCUGCCAGAAAUCAA
This is a long non-coding RNA of Mauremys reevesii (Reeves's turtle), 1583 nucleotides long. RefSeq lists it as uncharacterized. The record is from RefSeq and is a predicted model, not a curated record. NCBI's taxonomy places the organism in Eukaryota, Metazoa, Chordata, Testudines, Geoemydidae. The transcript is spliced from 4 exons.